GCCUAGCCCUAAAUCUUGGCACUUCCCCUACUAAAGUGCCCGCCCGAGAACUACGAGCACAAACGCUUAAAACUCUAAGGACUUGGCGGUGCCCCAAACCCACCUAGAGGAGCCUGUUCUAUAAUCGAUAACCCACGAUUCACCCGACCGUCCCUUGCCAAAACAGCCUACAUACCGCCGUCGUCAGCCCACCUUCGUGAAAGAAUAAUAGUGAGCACAAUAGCCCUACCCGCUAGUAAGACAGGUCAAGGUAUAGCUCAUGAGACGGAAGAAAUGGGCUACAUUUUCUGAAACAGAAAAUUAAACGAAAGAGGACGUGAAACCGUCCCCGAAAGGCGGAUUUAGCAGUAAAGCGGGACAAUAGAGCCCCCUUUAAACUGGCCCUGAGGCACGU
This 394-nucleotide ribosomal RNA is filed under the name Phalacrocorax pelagicus. Its description in RNAcentral is "partial 12S small subunit ribosomal RNA". It matches the Rfam family "Bacterial small subunit ribosomal RNA", at positions 794 to 1384 of the family's 1533-position model. The record is from RNAcentral. Lineage: Eukaryota; Metazoa; Chordata; Aves; Suliformes; Phalacrocoracidae.